UACAGAGGGGGCAAGCGUUGUUCGGAAUUACUGGGCGUAAAGGGCGCGUAGGCGGCCGCCUAAGUCAGACGUGAAAUCCCUCGGCUCAACCGGGGAACUGCGUCUGAUACUGGGUGGCUUGAAUCCGGGAGAGAGAUGCGGAAUUCCAGGUGUAGCGGUGAAAUGCGUAGAUAUCUGGAGGAACACCGGUGGCGAAGGCGGCAUCCUGGACCGGCAUUGACGCUGAGGCGCGAAAGCCAGGGGAGCAAACGGG
Molecule: ribosomal RNA, 253 nt
Filed under: uncultured bacterium
Lineage: Bacteria
Description: partial 16S ribosomal RNA
Rfam family: Bacterial small subunit ribosomal RNA
Source: RNAcentral